AUGAAACUUUUCCUCCCACAGAUCUGGUACAAUGAGAGACAAGUGUUAGAUCGGAUGGAUGGAGAAUCAGGGAUUCCUUGUUUCCUAAUUUUGAGAGACUUAGCAGGGGGAGAGGAAGAAAAAUGGUGUCAUCUUUUCCAUGGGAAGAUGGAAGAUUUAGCCAAGGAGCUCAACAGAACAUCUGUAGCUACAAGCUUUUGUAUGCUGUCCUGCGGCCACGUCUCUGUGUGCUGUCCUGUGUUAACCCAGGCAAGUGACCACCAAGUGUCUGAUAGCCAUGACCAAAUCAGCUCCACCUUUCCCCCCACCUUAUUCUAAUAACCCAGGAGUAGAUUUCUGGAAUUACCCUUCAUUUAAUGAACACAUGUUAAGGAGUCUAUCCUCUACAAUCCAUUCCUUUCCAGGCCUAACAGGGCACUUGUAGAAGGUACAGUCUCAGUGUCUGCAAUUGGGUUUAAACUUUCUGCAGAUUCCAGGAAGAAGGGAAGGAAGAGGGCUUUUGAUUGUUCCUAUUAUGGUCCAGACACUCUGCAAGAUGUGAAUAUCCAUCACCAUGCACCCCAGUUCUGAAGUAAACAUUACUAUUUCCAUUUUCAACACAACAAUCCAGAGCUUUAGAGGUUAAGGGACAUGGCCAAGACCACACAGCUUAGUCAGUAGUAAGAUUUGGUCCCAAAUCUAUCACCAAAACCCAGACUAUUGUCAUUAUGUUUUUCUGGUCCAG
Molecule: long non-coding RNA, 724 nt
Filed under: Canis lupus familiaris (dog)
Lineage: Eukaryota; Metazoa; Chordata; Mammalia; Carnivora; Canidae
Description: lncRNA (ENSCAFG00000039697.3, ENSCAFG00845012441.1)
Source: RNAcentral